Molecule: non-coding RNA, 1117 nt
Organism: Cricetulus griseus (Chinese hamster)
Lineage: Eukaryota; Metazoa; Chordata; Mammalia; Rodentia; Cricetidae
Source: RefSeq, a predicted model, not a curated record
AGAGAUCUGCCUGCCUCUGCCUCCCGAGUGCUGGGAUUAAAGGCGUGUGCCACCAACACAGGGAUGACACCCUUGUUUUCCAGGGAGACAAGUUUUAGUGAAGAGGUUCAUGAUGGUCCCCGGCAAGGGCAGAAGGCAGAAGGACUCAACCUCCCCCAGGGACCCCAAGGCUCUUCGGAAGAGGAAGGACAGGCCAGACACCACAGAGGAUGGGGACUGACUCAGAGGCGGUUCCCAGAGGUCUCCUGAGCCAGCCCAGCCAGCUCCGCAUGGGGAGAACGAAGAACUAAUGAGACCCGGGCAAUGAGAGCCCUAGGACGGUCGACUGGGAGGAAGCAGGCACUUCCUCAGGCGUGUACCCCCACACACCUCUUGACCUGCAUCUGACCCCAGCUAGAUCUUGGUCCCCAAAGCUGACCUCACACAGCUGAGGAUGGCAGGAAAGAGCAGGGGUGACCAGAGACAGUGCCGUUAAGAGAUGUAAAGCUAAUGAGAUUAAUUAAUCCAGUGCUUCUGGUGUCUGGUGACUUUAGGACCAGCCUUGUCUCCCUGCCCCCACUUCAGGUUCCUGGCUCCUCCCAGUUUCUGCCACCCCUCCCUCCCCAAGUCUCCUGGCUUCCCUCCUGCCGUCCGGGCCCCAGAGCUUUCUCAACAGUCGCCGAGCCAAGUCCAGCUACGUGUAGGGGGAAGGUUCAGACCACACACAUUCCAGUCGGGAAGGGCCCUAUAGCCCAAUAGUCUAGAGCAGGGGUUCUCAACAGUUCAUGUUGUGGUCACCCCCCAACCAUGAAAUUACUUUUGUUUCUACUGCAUAACUGUAAUGUUGCUGCUGUUACGAAUCAUAAUGUAAAUAUCGGUAUUUUCCAGUGGCCCCCCAAAGGUUUGAGACCCACAAGUUAAGACCCACUGGUCUAGGCUUCCUUCCUCGAAGGGCUGCAAGACUGACUCAGGGACGGACGUGAGGGCCUGGUGGAGUCUACUCUAACCCCAGCCUUUGUGAGGCUGAGGAGGCAGAAGGUGUGAGUGCUCUGAGUUCAAGGCCAACUGGGGCUACACCGUGAGAAACUGUUAAAAAAAAAUAGCUGAGCAGCAAUGGCGCACCCCUUUAUUCCCAGCA